Molecule: ribosomal RNA, 559 nt
Filed under: uncultured bacterium
Lineage: Bacteria
Description: bacterial SSU rRNA
Rfam family: Bacterial small subunit ribosomal RNA
Source: RNAcentral
AGGAAUCUGCCUAUUAGUGGGGGACAACGUUUCGAAAGGAACGCUAAUACCGCAUACGUCCUACGGGAGAAAGCAGGGGACCUUCGGGCCUUGCGCUAAUAGAUGAGCCUAGGUCGGAUUAGCUAGUUGGUGAGGUAAUGGCUCACCAAGGCGACGAUCCGUAACUGGUCUGAGAGGAUGAUCAGUCACACUGGAACUGAGACACGGUCCAGACUCCUACGGGAGGCAGCAGUGGGGAAUAUUGGACAAUGGGCGAAAGCCUGAUCCAGCCAUGCCGCGUGUGUGAAGAAGGUCUUCGGAUUGUAAAGCACUUUAAGUUGGGAGGAAGGGCAGUAAGUUAAUACCUUGCUGUUUUGACGUUACCGACAGAAUAAGCACCGGCUAACUCUGUGCCAGCAGCCGCGGUAAUACAGAGGGUGCAAGCGUUAAUCGGAAUUACUGGGCGUAAAGCGCGCGUAGGUGGUUUGUUAAGUUGGAUGUGAAAGCCCCGGGCUCAACCUGGGAACUGCAUCCAAAACUGGCAAGCUAGAGUACGGUAGAGGGUGGUGGAAUUUCCUGU